Molecule: ribosomal RNA, 373 nt
Filed under: uncultured bacterium
Lineage: Bacteria
Description: bacterial SSU rRNA
Rfam family: Bacterial small subunit ribosomal RNA
Source: RNAcentral
AUACGGAGGAUCCAAGCGUUAUCCGGAUUUAUUGGGUUUAAAGGGUGCGUAGGCGGCAUGCUAAGUCAGGGGUGAAAGACGGUGGCUCAACCAUCGCAGUGCCUUUGAUACUGGCGUGCUUGAAUGCAGAUGAGGUAGGCGGAAUGAGACAAGUAGCGGUGAAAUGCAUAGAUAUGUCUCAGAACACCGAUUGCGAAGGCAGCUUACUAAACUGUGAUUGACGCUGAUGCACGAAAGCGUGGGUACCAAAUAGGAUUAGAUACCCUGGUAGUCCACGCCCUAAACGAUGAUAACUCGAUGUUUGCGAUAUACCGUAAGCGUCCAAGCGAAAGCGUUAAGUUAUCCACCUGGGGAGUACGCCCGCAAGGGUGAA